UGGGGAAUAUUGCACAAUGGGCGCAAGCCUGAUGCAGCCAUGCCGCGUGUAUGAAGAAGGCCUUCGGGUUGUAAAGUACUUUCAGUCGGGAGGAAGGUGGUAAGGUUAAUAACCUUGGCAAUUGACGUUACCGACAGAAGAAGCACCGGCUAACUCCGUACCAGCAGCCGCGGUAAUACGGAGGGUGCAAGCGUUAAUCGGAAUUACUGGGCGUAAAGCGCACGCAGGCGGUUGAUUGAGUCAGAUGUGAAAUCCCCGGGCUUAACCCGGGAAUUGCAUCUGAUACUGGUCAGCUAGAGUCUUGUAGAGGGGGGUAGAAUUCCAUGUGUAGCGGUGAAAUGCGUAGAGAUGUGGAGGAAUACCGGUGGCGAAGGCGGCCCCCUGGACAAAGACUGACGCUCAGGUGCGAAAGCGUGGGGAGCAAACAGG
RNAcentral lists this ribosomal RNA (429 nucleotides) under Chloroflexota bacterium. RNAcentral describes it as "Chloroflexi bacterium partial 16S ribosomal RNA". It matches the Rfam family "Bacterial small subunit ribosomal RNA", at positions 355 to 776 of the family's 1533-position model. The record is from RNAcentral. Lineage: Bacteria; Bacillati; Chloroflexota.